ACUGAGCAGGAGAGUGGAUGCAGGUUGUGGGUUCCUGCCAGGGCCCCAGAGUGCAGAGGCUGAGUCCACUGCAGGACCCCAAUCAAUGGGAGACAGAGGGAGACAGGAGGCUGCUGCCCCUGGGGAAACUGUUGGAACUGGAUUCAAGGAAACAAUGUCCUCAAAUGAUGACAGCUGUUAAGUUUGCAAAGUAAAACUGAAGAUGAGGAAGGGCUAUGCCUGAAGAAAAAGUGCCUUUCUCUCCCCUUCCUCCCAGCCAAGCACUCUCCUGUCAACUCAGAUCUUGCUGUGACCUGAUGUACGUCUGUCGGUAAAUGUCUCCUCACCUUCACUACUGAUCGUGCAGUACCAAUGACAGAGGGAAGCCUUCAGCCAAUGACAGCCUCUGCACCUUCUCUGAAAGGAUUCUGGGAAAUUGAGUUCUUCUUUAGUCAGCAGUUCGUCUGAAUGUCAAUUUGCGUGUAAAGAAUAACUGCAAAUGACAAUAUGGCGUGACAUGUUUAUUAGUGUGGUGCCCAGAGAAUUGGUAUCAAGGUGGGGAUGGAGAAGGUAUUUAGAAAACAAACAGCUGGCAAACAUCUACAAGCCUGCAUUUUUUUUUAAAGUGCUGGCAGCAUCACCAGACUUGCAGCUGACAAUCCUAUGGGCAAACCCACAAUUUAUUUAUAGAGCAAUUACACUAGAGACAAACUUUUCCUGCCUGCCCUAGAGGCCCCUCCUUUACAGUCAGAUGGGAAUUCAGUUCACAUGAUCACCCAGUUGUUCGUACCUCUGCUGUGAUUACCAGUGAGUUCUAUAUUUGGGGUAGUUUUUAUGAUGUGGUCACUUGUUCACUAGGAAAUGGACUGUGUCCCUACCAACAACUCAUUUCACAUAAGCCACCAAACCUCUUUCAGAGUGUAACAAGUUUGGUCAUUACUGAUCUGGGUUGGAUUCAGUUCUCUGUAUCAGGUUUAUACUUUAAAAAAGAAAAUGUGGUGGUGAUUGGUAAAUUUCUCCCACGUUUUAAUGGUUUGACUGACUCUUGUGACAGUUUCUAAUGUAGUCAAAAGCCUCAUAAUGGGAUCUAAAGUUAGACUUCAUCUCCUCACUCUAAGAUAACUAAAACUGCAAUUCUUACUCUUCUGGAGACCAUUUUCUGUAAACGGACCUGCAUAUGGAGAUUUCAUAUGUUAACUUAUUAUUAAGCUUUGUUCUUUAUAAAGUAAGAAACCAGGCACUGUUUAGUGAAAUCUAACAAAAGUAAAUAAAUAUGCAACACAAUGGUGUGUCAAUGCUGUGCCCCAGUACAAUCUGAAAAAGGCUUCAAAGGCUGGAAAAGUAUGCAGAUAAAAUCUGCCCAAGCCCUCAGAUAGCAUUGUACUCACCUAUUUUCAGUUUGUGUACUUGGACUAACUUUUGCAUCGCCUCAUCAUGGGACACAGUUAGAUGACAGUGACAGUCUACCGCACAAUGUUCACCCUUUUUAUGAUAAAUUUUGUACAAGAUAUGCACUGUAUCAGUUGAAAAUUCACAGUCUGCUGUGCAUUAUUGUUCUGAUAAAAUAUGUGUAUCAGCAUUGUAUGCAGAAUUAUAAGAUUCUUACUCCUAGGGGAAUUCUGUGCCUAAAAAUUCUACACCCAUUAUUUUAAAAUUCAGCGUGUUUU
This is a long non-coding RNA of Chelonia mydas (Green sea turtle), 1646 nucleotides long. RefSeq lists it as uncharacterized. The transcript has 3 exons. The record is from RefSeq and is a predicted model, not a curated record. NCBI's taxonomy places the organism in Eukaryota, Metazoa, Chordata, Testudines, Cheloniidae.